CGGCAGACAGCUGGGAUUUACAAGGAGAAGCGAACACAUCAAAGUACCCCGGUGACGACACCGGCCACGAGAGCGCAGCUUGAGCGCGCUCUGGCAGCUUGAAAGGCGUCCUCGUGGCAGCUCGCCUCCGUUUAAUCUUUGCAAUGAAUUCAUCUCGCCCUCCGACUCGGCCACCGAAAGGCUGCUGCGGUUUUCUAGCCUCUCUUCUCUCCUUUAGACAUGGGAUCACGUCCCUGGAGAGCAGUUUCCAAACGCGGCUGCUCUAACGAAACGCCCAGAAUCUACGUCUGGAAGCUGAAAAAUCACAGCGCUCGCGGUCUCUCCAGGUUGCACGCGUCCUGCCGCAACCCAGAGAGCCCGUUUUCGCCCUCGGGAACCCGCGUACGGCCAGGUAUGCUGCCUUCAGGGAUCCAGCGGGAGGCAAUGCUUUACCAGGCAGAAUUUGCUCCUCCUCGCUUUACAAAUUGCGUAUACGUUUUACAGCUAUGCGGUACAACCGUGAUCUUUCAGCAGGCAGCGCCUCUGCCGAAAGCCUGCCGCGCCAAAGGGGCUUCACGGGAACUGCGGCAGCCCGCGGGAAGCCUGGGUCCCGCGAUGAAAAAUUAGCCCU
RNAcentral lists this long non-coding RNA (610 nucleotides) under Struthio camelus australis. RNAcentral's name for it is "lncRNA (ENSSCUG00000002803.1)". Lineage: Eukaryota; Metazoa; Chordata; Aves; Struthioniformes; Struthionidae. The record is from RNAcentral.